This 250-nucleotide long non-coding RNA is filed under the name Hordeum vulgare. RNAcentral describes it as "long non-coding RNA (HVUL_LNC015080)". The record is from RNAcentral. Lineage: Eukaryota; Viridiplantae; Streptophyta; Magnoliopsida; Poales; Poaceae.
AAUGGAACAUGUGUCUACAAAUAUUCAAGGCAUGCUGAUGUAGCUGACCUAGGAUUCUUUCUAGCAAAAUACUAAACCUUCUUUAUAGACGCUUCGCCUGCACCUGAUCUCUAUGCUUUGUGGAGGUAACCAAGUUCAUGCUUGGACUUUUUGCAGCUAUACUUCUAUAGCAUUCAUUCAGACUGAAGAUGCAUGUGAAGCUGGACUAUGUAAUCUGACUAAGUGUGUGAUUUUGAUGUCUGGGUAACAU